Long non-coding RNA from Juglans microcarpa x Juglans regia, 283 nucleotides. RefSeq lists it as uncharacterized. The record is from RefSeq and is a predicted model, not a curated record. The transcript is spliced from 2 exons. Lineage: Eukaryota; Viridiplantae; Streptophyta; Magnoliopsida; Fagales; Juglandaceae.
UCUACCAAAUUCAGUUUAUUUUAUUGCAAAAAAUAUUGCUAGUGAAAUUAUACAGUGAGCUCAGGCGUACUUGUUUGUUGGACUGAUCCACCUCCGAAAUCAUUCUAAUUCAGUUUAUUUUAUUGCAAAAAACAAAAAAACCUGUACAGUGAAAUCAUUCUAAUUGGAUGCAAUUUUCCUGGUUUAUUUUUUUUAUAGAUGAAAAAAUUAAAAGAAGAAGAAGAAGAAGGGAAAAAAAUAAUAAGUAAAAAAACAAAAAUCAGGUCGGAAUACCAGUUCCUUC